Long non-coding RNA from Pygocentrus nattereri (red-bellied piranha), 478 nucleotides. RefSeq lists it as uncharacterized. The transcript is spliced from 4 exons. The record is from RefSeq and is a predicted model, not a curated record. NCBI's taxonomy places the organism in Eukaryota, Metazoa, Chordata, Actinopteri, Characiformes, Serrasalmidae.
CUCUCCGUUCUCCAUGAUCUUCGGCGGAGGAGCUCGUUAACGGACGUGCUGAAAGGAAAACCGAACGCGAUAACUUCGCUGUGUACAGUCCGAACAGGCUGAAACUGCGAACUGGACACCCACACGGAUCACACCCUCUUGACCUCCAGUAGGUGGCGCCUAUGUACCAUACUAACAGCCUAUUCCUCAGAUCCCUCGAGUCCCAAAGCGACGUGCAGCCGGGCUGGCCAAAAGGCUCAAGAUGGAUGAAAGACAAUGGAGUUUCUCCUUCACCAGCUUUACUCUUGGACAGGGAAGAAGACUGCAUAUCUAAACAGACUUGAGGAGCCAAGAAGUGGCCCCCUCCAGGUCCAUCCACCCUGCAGGUCCCUGGAUUGUUUUGCAAGGAGGAAUGAACGUAUGAGUGAGGGAGGAGUUCGCCAAUUCCUCCCACUGUUGGUCUGUCGCUGCAGGAUGAUACAGCCCCCACUGCCUCCCG